This 399-nucleotide ribosomal RNA is filed under the name uncultured bacterium. RNAcentral's name for it is "partial 16S ribosomal RNA". It matches the Rfam family "Bacterial small subunit ribosomal RNA", at positions 360 to 776 of the family's 1533-position model. The record is from RNAcentral.
AAUAUUGCAAAAUGGGCGAAAGCCUGAUGCAGCAACGCCUCGUGAGUGAUGAAGGCCUUAGGGUCGUAAAGCUCUUUGAUCAGAGAUAAUAAUGACAGUACCCGACAAACAAGACACGGCUAGCUACGCUCCAGCAUCCGCGGUAAUACGUAGGUGGCGAGCGUUGUCCGGAAUUACUGGGCGUAAAGGAUGCGUAGGUGGAUAUUCAAGUGGGAUGUGAAAUCCCUGGGCUCAACCCGGGAACUGCAUUCCAAACUGGGUAUCUAGAGUGCAGGAGAGGAAAGCGGAAUUCCUAGUGUAGCGGUGAAAUGCGUAGAUAUUAGGAGGAACACCAGUGGCGAAGGCGGCUUUCUGGACUGUAACUGACACUGAGGCAUGAAAGCGUGGGUAGCAAACAGG